Molecule: ribosomal RNA, 508 nt
Filed under: uncultured bacterium
Lineage: Bacteria
Description: bacterial SSU rRNA
Rfam family: Bacterial small subunit ribosomal RNA
Source: RNAcentral
GACGAACGCUGGCGGCGUGGAUUAGGCAUGCAAGUCGAACGGUAUCAUCCUUUCGGGGGUGAGAGAGUGGCGAACUGGUGAGUAACACGUAGGUUAUCUACCCUCAAGACGGGGACAACCCAGGGAAACUUGGGCUAAUACCGGAUGUGAGCAACUUUUAGUUGUUUGAAAGGUGGCGUAAGCUGUCGCUUGGGGAUGAGCCUGCGUCCUAUUAGUUAGUUGGUGAGGUAACGGCUCACCUAGGCAAUGAUAGGUAGGCGGCCUUAACGGGUGGUCGCCCACACUGGGAUUGAGAUACGGCCCAGACUCCUACGGGAGGCAGCAGUCGAGAAUAGUCUACAAUGGUCGGAAGACUGAUAGUGCGACGCCGCGUGAACGAUGAAUCCCUUCGGGGUGUAAAGUCCUUUUAUAUGUGAGCAGUGCUUCUUAUAUUAACAGUAUGGGGAGAGAGAUAUUAGCAUAUGAAUAAGCAACGGCUAACUCCGUGCCAGCAGCCGCGGUAAUCUCG